UACAGAGGUCUCAAGCGUUGUUCGGAUUCAUUGGGCGUAAAGGGUGCGUAGGUGGCGCUGUAAGUCGGGUGUGAAAUUUCGGAGCUUAACUCCGAAACUGCAUUCGAUACUGCGGUGCUUGAGGACUGGAGAGGAGACUGGAAUACAUGGUGUAGCAGUGAAAUGCGUAGAGAUCAUGAGGAAGACCAGUGGCGAAGGCGGGUCUCUGGACAGUUCCUGACACUGAAGCACGAAAGCGUGGGGAGCAAACAGG
Molecule: ribosomal RNA, 253 nt
Filed under: uncultured bacterium
Lineage: Bacteria
Description: partial 16S ribosomal RNA
Rfam family: Bacterial small subunit ribosomal RNA
Source: RNAcentral